AAGGAUUUAAGUUAAAAAAAACUACCAACCUUCAAAGUUGGAAACAAGGAGGUAUCUUUAAGCCUUA
This 67-nucleotide transfer RNA is filed under the name Elminae sp. GENSP01. RNAcentral's name for it is "tRNA-Trp". Lineage: Eukaryota; Metazoa; Arthropoda; Insecta; Coleoptera; Elmidae. The record is from RNAcentral.